CCUGAGACUUAAAGUCUCCUGAAGGAACGUUGAAGACGACGACGUUGAUAGGCCGGGUGUGUAAGCGCAGCGAUGCGUUGAGCUAACCGGUACUAAUGAACCGUGAGGCUUAACCUU
This 117-nucleotide ribosomal RNA is filed under the name Salmonella enterica. RNAcentral describes it as "partial 23S ribosomal RNA". It matches the Rfam family "Bacterial large subunit ribosomal RNA", at positions 2798 to 2925 of the family's 2925-position model. Lineage: Bacteria; Pseudomonadati; Pseudomonadota; Gammaproteobacteria; Enterobacterales; Enterobacteriaceae. The record is from RNAcentral.